UACGGAGGGUGCGAGCGUUAUUCGGAAUUACUGGGCGUAAAGCGCGUGUAGGCGGCAGGGCAAGUCUGGUGUGAAAGCCCGGGGCUCAACCCCGGAAGUGCAUUGGAAACUGCUCUGCUUGAGUACCGGAGAGGAAGGGGGAAUUCCCGGUGUAGCGGUGAAAUGCGUAGAUAUCGGGAGGAAGGCCGGUGGCGAAGGCGGCCUCCUGGGCCUGCACUGACGCUGAGGCGCGAAAGCGUGGGGAGCAAACAGG
RNAcentral lists this ribosomal RNA (253 nucleotides) under uncultured microorganism. RNAcentral's name for it is "partial 16S ribosomal RNA". It matches the Rfam family "Bacterial small subunit ribosomal RNA", at positions 524 to 776 of the family's 1533-position model. The record is from RNAcentral.